Molecule: ribosomal RNA, 480 nt
Filed under: Triticum aestivum (bread wheat)
Lineage: Eukaryota; Viridiplantae; Streptophyta; Magnoliopsida; Poales; Poaceae
Description: partial small subunit ribosomal RNA
Source: RNAcentral
CUCUCCAGCUUGCUCAUAUUCAUUAUCAGCUUCUACAGCCUGCCUGAGACUCUGCACCAUGAGAUUGCCACAGUUCAGGGGCGCUUCUUCUAGGCUGGCGAGGGCGAUAAGCAGAAGUACCACAUGAUUCGGUGGACGGAGAUCUGUAAACCUCGCAAUUAGGGCGGACUCGGGAUCAUGUCCUCUAAACGCAUGAACGUUGCUCUCCUGACUAGGUGGCUUUAGUGGAUUGCAAACGCAGAGGGUGGCCUGUGGCUUCGCAUCAUCCAGCAGAAAUACCUCCGUGAUCAGCCACUCGCCUUCUGCCUAUGGUCCAGUGGCUCCCAGUUCUGGCAAUCCAUCAUACAUCUCCUCCCAGUCCUCCGCAUCGGGACCUCGAUUGCGGUUGGAUCUGGCACCGGCACACUGUUCUGGUAUGAUAGAUGGGCUGGGCACACCCCUUCACGGCUCGCUUUCCUGACAUGUUCACCAUCACGGUAG